CAGGCUGAAACUCGCCUGCACGAAGUUGGAAUUGCUAGUAAUCGCGGAUCAGCAUGCCGCGGUGAAUACGUUCCCGGGUCUUGUACACACCGCCCGUCACACCAUGGGAGCUGGUAACACCCGAAGUCAGUAGUCUAACCGCAAGGAGGACGCUGCCGAAGGUGGGAUUAGCGACUGGGGUGAAGUCGUAACAAGGUAGC
Molecule: ribosomal RNA, 200 nt
Filed under: uncultured bacterium
Lineage: Bacteria
Description: partial 16S ribosomal RNA
Rfam family: Bacterial small subunit ribosomal RNA
Source: RNAcentral